GCCAGUAUGAUGUAGUGGUUUGAUUGUGGAUUACAACUCUGCAGACCAGGGUUCAAUUCCCCCUUUGGCCA
Phrynosoma platyrhinos (Desert horned lizard) is the source of this 71-nucleotide non-coding RNA. Lineage: Eukaryota; Metazoa; Chordata; Lepidosauria; Squamata; Phrynosomatidae. The record is from the annotation of a GenBank genome assembly.